GGGGGCGAAUGGCUUCGACCGGAUCGUGGAGAGGCAGGUGGCAUGCCCAGGACGCCGGUUGGCCUGGUUAAUCAUCCGGUAACUAACUUUACUUGGCAACUACCAGUUGCGCAUGGCUGCCUAGAUUAGGUAGCCCGUCCUCUUCCGGCUUUGCCUGUGGGCUGGAUCCGGACGUCGAACAGCAGGCUGGCUGACACGAUCGUUUGGGUCGUGGAGGCGAGAACUCACCGAACUAGCCGAUCGCGGAGCCUGUCGUCCGGCGUCGCAGGAGGCGAAGACUCAAUAGAACGACUACGCAUGUAGAGGCCUGUCUUAAAGCAUCUCGGGACGCGGGUCCGAAUCCCGCCGCCUCCAA
This 355-nucleotide transfer-messenger RNA is filed under the name Phycisphaerae bacterium. It matches the Rfam family "transfer-messenger RNA". From Rfam's summary of the family: Bacterial tmRNA, also known as 10Sa RNA or SsrA, is named for its dual tRNA and mRNA-like properties. Its role is to liberate the mRNA from a stalled ribosome. The record is from RNAcentral. Lineage: Bacteria; Pseudomonadati; Planctomycetota; Phycisphaerae.